UACGUAGGGUGCAAGCGUUGUCCGGAAUUAUUGGGCGUAAAGAGCUCGUAGGCGGUCAGUCGCGUCUGCUGUGAAAACUCGGGGCUUAACUCCGGGCCUGCAGUGGGUACGGGCUGACUAGAGUGCGGUAGGGGAGACUGGAAUUCCUGGUGUAGCGGUGAAAUGCGUAGAUAUCGGGAGGAACACCAGAGGCGAAGGCGGCGACCUGGACAGAUACUGACACUGAACUACGAAAGCGUGGGGAGCAAACAGG
This 253-nucleotide ribosomal RNA is filed under the name uncultured bacterium. RNAcentral describes it as "partial 16S ribosomal RNA". It matches the Rfam family "Bacterial small subunit ribosomal RNA", at positions 524 to 776 of the family's 1533-position model. The record is from RNAcentral.